This is a long non-coding RNA of Carassius carassius (crucian carp), 372 nucleotides long. RefSeq lists it as uncharacterized. The record is from RefSeq and is a predicted model, not a curated record. The transcript is spliced from 2 exons. NCBI's taxonomy places the organism in Eukaryota, Metazoa, Chordata, Actinopteri, Cypriniformes, Cyprinidae.
AUCAAGAGAGAGACGGCUGACGUCAUCCUGAAACCAGACCAACCCCCUCUGGACUAACUAGACUAAUUAACCUCCUCAGACCCAAGACACAGUCAAACAAGUAGGCCAGCACAACAAGAGAGACCCAAAUCACCCCGAGUCCAUGUAAUGUGUUCAUGCAGGACACAAAACGACUGCUAUCUGCUUCAUGAAUGUGAUUGUGCCUCAAGAGAUGCACUGAACAUUUACAAGUUCCUCUGCAAGAAUGAGGUCUGAUGGGAUUCCCAAGAUUGUGUAUCCACAAGCUUUAGAUUCCUCAAGAUGUUUAUCAUACUCCACAUCAACGAACCAGAAAGCAGCCAAACUACCAAAUAAAGGUUGUUUUGGUCGUAA